This 405-nucleotide ribosomal RNA is filed under the name uncultured bacterium. Its description in RNAcentral is "bacterial SSU rRNA". It matches the Rfam family "Bacterial small subunit ribosomal RNA", at positions 355 to 776 of the family's 1533-position model. The record is from RNAcentral.
CUAAGAAUCUUCCGCAAUGGGCGAAAGCCUGACGGAGCGACGCCGCGUGGACGAUGAAGGCGUUAUGCGUUGUAAAGUCCUUUUAUAGGGGAUGAUGAUGACUGUACCCUAUGAAUAAGCAUCGGCUAAUUACGUGCCAGCAGCCGCGGUAAUACGUAAGAUGCUAGCGUUAUCCGGAAUUACUGGGCGUAAAGGGUGCGUAGGCGGUUAAAUAAGUCGGGUGUGAAAUCUUACGGCUCAACCGUAAAAUUGCGCUCGAAACUAUUUGACUCGAGUUUGGAAGAGGAAGGCGGAAUUCCUGGUGUAGGAGUGAAAUCUAUAGAUAUCAGGAAGAACACCGGUGGCGAAGGCGGCCUUCUGGUCUAAAACUGACGCUGAAGCACGAAAGCGUGGGGAGCAAACGGG